UGGCUCAGUGGUUAAGAGCACUGAAUGCUUUUUCAGAGAUCCUGAGUUCAAAUCCCAG
Molecule: transfer RNA, 58 nt
Filed under: Rattus norvegicus (Norway rat)
Lineage: Eukaryota; Metazoa; Chordata; Mammalia; Rodentia; Muridae
Source: Rfam by way of RNAcentral